This 468-nucleotide ribosomal RNA is filed under the name uncultured bacterium. RNAcentral describes it as "partial 16S ribosomal RNA". It matches the Rfam family "Bacterial small subunit ribosomal RNA", at positions 28 to 507 of the family's 1533-position model. The record is from RNAcentral.
GACGAACGCUGGCGGCGUGCUUAACACAUGCAAGUCGAACGGAAAGGCCCUGCUUUUGUGGGGUGCUCGAGUGGCGAACGGGUGAGUAACACGUGAGUAACCUGCCCUUGACUUUGGGAUAACUUCAGGAAACUGGGGCUAAUACCGGAUAGGAGCUCCUGCUGCAUGGUGGGGGUUGGAAAGUUUCGGCUGUUGGGGAUGGACUCGCGGCUUAUCAGCUUGUUGGUGGGGUAGUGGCUUACCAAGGCUUUGACGGGUAGCCGGCCUGAGAGGGUGACCGGCGUCAUUGGGCCUGCGAUACGGCCCAGACUCCUACGGGAGGCAGCAGUGGGGAAUAUUGCACAAUGGGCGGAAGCCUGAUGCAGCAACGCCGCGUGCGGGAUGCCGGCCUUCGGGUUGUAAACCGCUUUCGCAUGUGACGAAGCGUGAGUGACGGUAAUGGGUAAAGAAGCACCGGCUAACUACGUG